Molecule: non-coding RNA, 207 nt
Filed under: Lactobacillus iners
Lineage: Bacteria; Bacillati; Bacillota; Bacilli; Lactobacillales; Lactobacillaceae
Description: T-box sequence
Rfam family: T-box leader
About the family: Uncharged tRNA acts as the effector for transcription antitermination of genes in the T-box leader family. T-boxes are found upstream of many aminoacyl-tRNA synthetase genes and some amino acid biosynthetic genes usually in Gram-positive bacteria.
Source: RNAcentral
AUAAAUGCUAAGAUUGAGGCUAGUAGUAUUUUUUAUUUUCAAGAGAGGACUUUUUUUGCUGUGAUAAGUUUAAAUAAAAAAUAUGAAAUUCACCUCAGGAGCAGAAUCCAAUCAAUUCCGGUAUUUUCCCGUUAAAGAAAUAGAGUGUAAAUUUUUAUUAAUUUGAAAAUUUAAACUAGGGUGGUACCGCGGAGCUUCGUCCCUUUU